GAUGAAGAACGCAGUGAAAUGCGAUACGUAAUGUGAAUUGCAGAAUUCAGUGAAUCAUCGAAUCUUUGAACGCACAUUGCGCCUGCCAGCACUCUGGCAGGCAUGCCUGUUCGAGCGUCAUUUCAACCAUCAAGCCCUAGGCUUGCGUUGGAGCCCUGCGGCUGCCGCAGGCCCCUAAAAGCAGUGGCGGGCUCGCUAUCACACCGAGUGCAGUAGAUUACUCUUCGCUCAGGGCGUGUGGCGGGUUCCAGCCGUGAAACCCCCUACUUCUCAAGGUUGACCUCGGAUCAGGUAGGAAUACCCGCUGAACUUAAGCAUAUCAAUAAGCGGAGGA
Molecule: unclassified non-coding RNA, 334 nt
Filed under: soil metagenome
Description: partial contains 5.8S ribosomal RNA, internal transcribed spacer 2, and large subunit ribosomal RNA
Rfam family: 5.8S ribosomal RNA (bases 1-120)
Source: RNAcentral